This 5135-nucleotide long non-coding RNA is filed under the name Sus scrofa (pig). RNAcentral describes it as "lncRNA (ENSSSCG00005018599.1)". The record is from RNAcentral. Lineage: Eukaryota; Metazoa; Chordata; Mammalia; Artiodactyla; Suidae.
AGCCACAGCAACGCAGGAUCCGAGCCACAUCUGCGACCUACCCCACAGCUCACGGCAACACCAGAUCCUUAUCCCACCGAGCAAGGCCAGGGAUCAAACCCUCAACCUCAUGUUACCUAGUCGGACUCGCUAACCACUGAGCCACAACGGGAACGCCCAAAUAUUUCUUUCUUAUUCAGGACUCAGAUCAAAUGUCCCCUCCUCAGACAGGCCUUCCCUGUCCAGCCAAUCUAAAUAAGCUCCCCACCCAUCACCCAUCACCCACGGCCACAUCACCUGUUUUGUUUUCUUAAGUGCUCUUAUCAUUGUCUGAAACAACCUGGCCCAGUUACUGGCUUACUUACUGGUUGCUUGUGUUUCCUGCCAGAAUGUAAGUUUCAAGCCAAGAGCACUGCCUGGUGUGAGUGAGCAGAUGUUCAGGAAAUACUUGGGGAUGGAAAAAAAAAAGAAUUCCUGAAAGUGGAGGCCGGAGAUUUAUUUGUCCCAAAUCUAAUAGGUACUUUAAAGUUCUGGUAUGAGUCUUCUCCAACAUUUGACAUCAGGAUGAUCUGCUCUGUCUCUAAGUCGUCACUUCCCUGGGCUUCUGUAACCUGCCAUUGAGACUCUAGUCUUGGGCACUUUUCUUUCCAGUUUCUCUUAAGAGCUCCUCCUCCUCCGCCCAUCCCUGACUUUCUGCUUUUCAGAGAGUUCCAUCCUAGUGCUUCUUCUUCCCCAAUUCCACAUCAUCGAGCAAGGUCACCUCAGCCACUGCUGAAACCGUGUGCAAGCCCCUAAAUCGUUGUGUUCUUUCCUUUAGCCUCUCUGGCCUCCUCUCCGUCUCAAAAGGCUGACUCAAGAGUUAACGAUUAGGGAGUUCCUGCUGUGGCUCAGCAGUAACGAACCCAACUAGUUUCCAUGAGGACAUGGGUUUGAUCCCUGGCCAUGCUCAGCGGGUGAAGCAUCCAGUGUUGCUAUGAGCUGUGGUGUAGAUCACAGAUAGAGCUCGGAUCUGGCAUUGCUGUGGGCAUGGUACAGGCUGGCAGCUGCAGCUCCAAUGUGACUCCAUGGCCUGGGAACUUCCAUAUUGCCACAGGUGCAGCCUUAAAAGAAAAAAAUAAGUAAAUAAAAAACAAACCAUAAUGGAAAAGAAUAUUUUUUUAAAAGAGUUAAUGAUUAGGAACUAUUGUUACAGCUAAAAGUUAGCCAAAACAGUCUCCAUGAUGUUAAGCCCUGCCUUGGUCCACUAACUUACUACUAAUGAUGACUUUCUAGUUAGAGUUAUAUCGUGCCUAGUGUCCAGCUUUUCACAAAUGACCUCUUCCUGACUUAAUCGCUUUCUUUUACGAAUGAUGGCUUUCUAGUUAGAGUUCUACUGCACCUAGUGGUUUCCUUUGUAAUUGAAACACUUCCUAACACCGCUUCCCCACAAGCCAUCUUCUUUCCAGAGAAAAGGUCAAGGAAGGAUAACCUUGACCAGAGACAACCGGAAACCAUCACCAGAUGGACUGACACAAGAAUUGACAACUGGAAUGAUCUAUGGGUCAAGAAUAAUAUCGACUCCUUAAUCUAUAACCCCGUCUUCUGAGCUAGACCUAUAAAACCCCUUGCUAUCCCCUCUCAGGACAGGACACAGUGUUGAGGUGUUAGCCCGCUGUGUCCUCCUUUGCCUGGCAAAGCAAUAAAGCUGUUCUUUCUGCUUCACCCCAAACUCAGUCUCUGAGACUUAGCUGGUGCCGGUGUACAGAGGCCGUGUUUCGGCUACACUCCUACGUGUCAUCAUUCACCAUCUAUUUUCUCAUGACUCCCAAAUCUAUACCUCUCUCCCAGGUGCAAGCAGCCCCUAGGAUGUCCCCUCCAGUUCAACAGUGCCAACCGAAACUGGUCACUUCCACCAGUCCCAAGCCACAUCCUCAGCAACCCCGCUGGCCCUGCUCCCCAACAACACACAUUCCUCCCUCUUCUGCAUGAAGCUCUCAGUCCCCCCGCCCCUUGCCCUGAGUCUAGGAUCCAAAUUCCUCCCCAUGCCUUCCAAGACCAUUCAUGACGUGUUCCUUUUGCCACACCAACCAUCUGCACUACACUCCCCCCUCACCUGUAGGAGCACAGACGCGCUUCUUCCUGGGUCCCACGCCAGAUCCAAACCGCGUAUGCGAACUAAACCACAGCUCACAGCAACACUGGAUCCUUAACCCACUGAGCCAGACCAGGGAUCAAACUUGCGUCCUCAUGGUCACUAGUCAGAUUCGUUUCCUCUGAGCCAUGAUGGGAAUUCCUGAACCUUCUUUUAAGAGUCAGGUCUAUAGACAUUGCUAGUCCUCAAAUAGUUUUUGCUUCCAGGGCAACUCGAGAUACCUCUGAAAUCCUCAGUGGAUUUUUACAUCUUACUCAUCCUACCUCAGGCCCUAAUCCUCAUUUUUCUAUUCCUCCCUCAAUGCUGCACCACAAACCAACAUCCUAAUGACUUUCGGAGGAUCUGGGUUAAUUAGUGACUAGAGUUUGCCUCUCCCAGCUAAGAAUUUAGCUCAAUAUUUACAUUGUGCUGCCACCGGGUACAUUUGGUAACAGUGACUAAGCGUCUUGGCAGCUUUCAAACUGUACAAAAGAAAUUCAGGGAUAACAUAAUAGAUCAUCAGGAACAACUGGUGAACAAGCAAUUUAUUAUAAAUAAGAUGCACAUUAAUAAGUUUCAUAUUAAGACAAGCAUCCAAAAGAAACUGCAAAACUGCUGUCUGCUCCAGAGAUGCCCCUGCCUCUGCAAUCGUCACCAGCUCCAUGGUCGCUGUCCUCUCAGCUCCUUGGCAUCAGCUGGACAGACCCCGUGAAUGCACGUGCAGCUGAACCAGCGUAGGAAGAGAGCUGAGAAGCCAACUCCCAGCCUGCCAGCCAGGCUAGCCCCAGGGGCGCUGUCACUUGCCACAUCCCUCGAAGGACCACACUCCUGCUACCUUCCCCUAAAUGUACUAUUGGGGUGGACAGUGACCCUGGGAGCCAGCGAGGGCUGUUGGCUGUUGCCUAUGGGCCAUGCUGUUUCUCCAACUGAACAGACUCAAGAAAGAGCAGCACCAAGUGCCCAUCAUGCAACAACCCCAGGCAGUGUCCCUGCCAGGCUACUUCCACUCAAAGGGACUGAGCGGGAAAUCCAUCCUGCAGAUGAACGGCAGCUGGUGCUCUGUGCCCCCAGCAGGGACCUUCAACACGACCCUGAAUUGCAGGGGUUGUUUGGUUUUGUUUUGUCUUAGGGCCUCACCCAAGGCAUAUGGCAGUUACCAGGCUAGGGGUCCCAUCAGAGCUGCAGCUGCCAACCUAAGCCACAGCCACAGCCACGGCAACUCGGGAUCCGAGCCUCAUCUAUGACCUACACCACAGCUCACAGCAACACUGGAUCCUUAACCCACUGAGCAAGGCCAGGGAUCGAAUCCAUAUCCUCAUGGAUUCAUUGCCACUAGUUGGAUUCAAUACCACUGAGCUACAACAGGAACCUCCCCCGCUUUUUUUUCUGAAUUGCAAUUUUGAGAAUGCACCCCAACCUCACUUCCCUCUUCUGGCUGAGUGACAGGGGCCUCUAUCAGUGGCGGGAGCUUAUUGUGGCCAGUUCCCCAAGGCACUGCCUUGAGAGGCCCCUCUGAGUCUGAUAAUGACCACAGAACAACAGAUUCCCAAGGCUUGGGAAGGAGCAUCCUGACACUUAUUAACAACACAAUGAAUUUAAGUUGUAAUGAGGCGGAAAAAGCAAACCGGCCCUAAGGCUCAGCCUUAUACUCAGAGCUCUGAGGGAACUUACACAGGAAGAUCCCUGCUCUGGAGGCAGCUGAGACCUAGUUAAGGAAGAAAGAUUUUUGCACGUAAAAGUGACACCUUAUGUUGGAGCUCUUGGCCCUCCUGCACCCCCAGGCAUGCUCAGCUGCUGGGAGGGUCAGCACAGACAGCGUGGACAGACCAUCUGGGGCCAGAGCGGGCAGUGCUUAGGGUCUGCUAUGGGGUAGGGGCCCAUGACAAUGCUUUCAUUUCUUUUCAGAUCAGAAGAAAAAAGUGAUUAUAGUCCAAUCUGAGUUGCAUUCACCUUUAUUUAUUCAGUUAAUUAGCUUUUUUAGGGCCGCACCAGCAGCAUAUGGAAAUUCCCAGUUCAGGGGUCGAAUCGGAACUGCAGCUUCCAGCCUACACCACAGCCACAGUAAUGCAGGAUCUGAAGCCGAAGAUCUGAAGUAAUGCCACACCGAAGCCUUAACCCACCGAGCGGGGCCAGGAAUUGAUCCUGCAUCCUCAUAAAUAUUAGUCAGGUUCUUAACCCGCUGAGCCACAAUGGGAACUCCUGCACUCACCUUUAUAUCAACACCAUUGCAAAAGAGACAUUUCAAUUUUUUUAAUGCAAGAGGAGGCCCAAGAAAGGCAAAAAUUUCAGAGACCUCCUGCAAUGAUAAUGCAGCCCUGACUGAACAGAAGGGAAACCAAAUAAGCAUCUGCGUGAAAUGCUCAAUUCCUAUUCUGCCCUUGCACAGGCAGCUGCCAGCCGCGCGAGACCCAUGCCCUGGAGCAAGUCCUGAGUAGCCAUUCUGCUCACAGGCAUCUGGGCCCUGCCCUGGACCUAGAAAUGAAAUGCGGAUCGGAAUGAUGGCAGGGAUAAUCAUUUAAUGCGUACUUCCGGUGUGCAUCAGCUUCAGUGCUUACGGCUUUAUGUGCCUGAUCUUAUUUAAUCACCUCUAGAGCCUUGGAAGAUAUUAUUACCUACAUUUCAUAGACGAAGAAAGCACCACUCAAAGAAUGAAUAAGCCCUGGCUGUGGGCUCUGUGUGGCCAACUGCAGGGGGCGCCGUCUACGUCAUAGUAGUUGAUGCCGAGGCCCCCUGGGAAUCCUGUGAUAUGACAGAACUGGCCAGGCUCAUCCAUGCACUUUGCAUCUUCAUUCCACUGCCUCUAAAAUUAUAGACUUUUCCCGAGCAAAACACAUCCCAGACCAAACAACAAGAGAGCGUGUACAAAAAGUGGGUGCCCCUGCUGUACACACCACAGGGCACUAUAUCUAGUCCCUUGUGAUGGAACAGGAUGGAGGAUAAUGUGAGAAAAAGAAUAUAUGUAUAUGACCGAGUCACUUUGCUUAUAGCAGAAAUUGACAGAACACUGUAAAUCAACUAUAGUUUAAGAAAAAAAAAAAAAAAAAAA